RNAcentral lists this ribosomal RNA (468 nucleotides) under uncultured bacterium. Its description in RNAcentral is "partial 16S ribosomal RNA". It matches the Rfam family "Bacterial small subunit ribosomal RNA", at positions 28 to 507 of the family's 1533-position model. The record is from RNAcentral.
GACGAACGCUGGCGGUGUGCUUAACACAUGCAAGUCGAACGGAAAGGCCCUGCUGUUGUGGGGUGCUCGAGUGGCGAACGGGUGAGUAACACGUGAGUAACCUGCCCUUGACUUUGGGAUAACUUCAGGAAACUGGGGCUAAUACCGGAUAGGAGCUCCUGCUGCAUGGUGGGGGUUGGAAAGUUUCGGCGGUUGGGGAUGGACUCGCGGCUUAUCAGCUUGUUGGUGGGGUAGUGGCUUACCAAGGCUUUGACGGGUAGCCGGCCUGAGAGGGUGACCGGCCACAUUGGGACUGAGAUACGGCCCGGACUCCUACGGGAGGCAGCAGUGGGGAAUAUUGCACAAUGGGCGGAAGCCUGAUGCAGCAACGCCGCGUGCGGGAUGACGGCCUUCGGGUUGUAAACCGCUUUCGCCUGUGACGAAGCGUGAGUGACGGUAAUGGGUAAAGAAGCACCGGCUAACUACGUG